CCUACGGGAGGCAGCAGUGGGGGAUAUUGGACAAUGGGGGGAACCCUGAUCCAGCGACGCCGCGUGAGUGAAGAAGUAUUUCGGUAUGUAAAGCUCUGUCAGCAGGGAAGAAAGAAAUGACGGUACCUGACCAAGCAGCCCCGGCUAACUACGUGCCAGCAGCCGCGGUAAUACGUAGGGGGCAAGCGUUAUCCGGAAUUACUGGGUGUAAAGGGAGCGUAGACGGUUAAGUAAGUCUGGAGUGAAAGGCCGGGGCCCAACCCCGGGACUGCUCUGGAAACUAUUGAACUUGAGUGCAGGAGAGGUAAGCGGAAGUCCGAGUGUAGCGGUGAAAUGCGUAGAGAUUAGGAGGAACACCAGUGGCGAAGGCGGCUUACUGGACUGUAACUGACGUUGAGGCUCGAAAGCGUGGGGAGCAAACAGGAUUAGAUACCCUGGUAGUC
RNAcentral lists this ribosomal RNA (443 nucleotides) under uncultured bacterium. Its description in RNAcentral is "partial 16S ribosomal RNA". It matches the Rfam family "Bacterial small subunit ribosomal RNA", at positions 338 to 795 of the family's 1533-position model. The record is from RNAcentral.